AUGUCGAAUCCUUUCUACGUUGCCGGUGAUUCCUACUGUGGUAUUACUGUGCCAGGCAUCACCCUUGGAAUAGCUAAAGGGAUAGAAGAUGGCAGUGGAUCAGCUCUCAAUCUAAAGGGCUACCUUGUGGGGAAUCCAGUCACAGCUUAUUGGUACUACGAUAAUCCAGCUAAAAUUCCAUUUGCACACGGGAAGGGUCUCAUAUCUGACGAAAUGUACCAGGAGUACAAGGAGAGCUGCAGUGCAUGGGAAUUCAGCCCGGAGUGCACAAAAAGUCAUGCUGCCAUCGACGAGUGUGUCAAGGAUAUAUGCCCAAACCACAUCCUGGAGCGCCUGUGCGCUUUCGCGAGCCCGCACCCAUACAAUCUGAAACUGAAUUCAAGCGCACGAGAGAUGCUCCAGCUGCAGGAGGACUACACUGCCAGGGCCGGGCUUCAGCUGUCUGAGAUUUCUACAGAGUGUAGAACCGCGGAAUAUGCGAUGUCCAUGAUAUGGGCGAACAAUGACACUGUCAGAGAGGCUCUUGGUGUCCACAAAGGAACGGUUUCUUCAUGGCUAAGAUGCAACUUCGACAUACGGUACACCAACGAUAUUUUCAGCUCGGUGGAGCACCAUCUGGAUGUGACCACCAGAGGCUACAGGAGCCUGAUCUACAGCGGCGAUCAUGACAUGAUUGUACCUUCCAUCGGCACGCAGGCCUGGAUCAGGUCUCUGAACUUCUCCGUUGUGGAUGAGUGGAGACCGUGGUAUGUCGAUGCACAAGUUGCAGGAUAUACAAGGUCAUACUCAAAUAACCUCACCUUCGCAACUGUCAAGGGCGGUGGACAUACUGCUCCGGAGUACAUGCCAAAGCAAUGCCUUGCUAUGUUUGCAAGGUGGCUUUCUGGUGAGCCUCUUUGA
This 900-nucleotide ribosomal RNA is filed under the name Triticum aestivum (bread wheat). RNAcentral's name for it is "partial small subunit ribosomal RNA". Lineage: Eukaryota; Viridiplantae; Streptophyta; Magnoliopsida; Poales; Poaceae. The record is from RNAcentral.